CAGAAACACAAGACAAGGUCUGAAAUGUUUAGGGAAAACAAGAAUGCAGGUGACUGUUUUAAAGUAUUUUUCUCAAAGAAAUAUGCUGUUUUUGUUAUUCAAGGACUUACUACAACCAUGUGUUAAGGUGUUACAAUGACUCCUGGGACACAGGAAGGAAAUGAUAUGGCUGUUUACUUUUUACAUUCAGAUCAUGGGUAUUUAUCUUUGCAUAUUUGGUUGUUUAGUUGUAUUUACAAUAUUUUGUUUCAGUUUUAAGUCUCUUUGAUUUUUUUUCUGACAGUCAGAUCCCCAGCAGACAGCGAUGAGCUUACAGGAGAUGGACCUGCAAGAGUUUCCAUUGAAAACCAAAGUCCCACCGAUAUCAAUGAGGAAGUUGCAGUGCUGAAUUUAACCAACAGAGGGACCCAGAGUAAAGCAGAUCCUCCUGAGACACACAAUGCCAACAAAAAGGCAGGAACUCUUAAAGGGCCACAGUUACUGAAAGAUGACGUGUCCCAGAUGGGGGGCAAAAGAAAACGGUUUGUUCUUUAAUUUGACCAAGAUAAAUAUAUUAGAUUCAUAUAUAUU
Molecule: long non-coding RNA, 570 nt
Filed under: Sinocyclocheilus grahami
Lineage: Eukaryota; Metazoa; Chordata; Actinopteri; Cypriniformes; Cyprinidae
Description: lncRNA (ENSSGRG00000013427.1)
Source: RNAcentral